RNAcentral lists this long non-coding RNA (631 nucleotides) under Pongo abelii (Sumatran orangutan). RNAcentral's name for it is "lincRNA". Lineage: Eukaryota; Metazoa; Chordata; Mammalia; Primates; Hominidae. The record is from RNAcentral.
AAGAAAUGUUUUGGAAAAAGGUGGAAGUAGGUAGAGGGAUGUGCUCUGAACCAGUGUGACCAAAAGACAGUAUGUUCACGGGGCAUUCAUCUGAUUCAAUUCCUGCCAAAGGCUUUUGUUAUUUGAGAACAUUAUGACUAAACCAACAGAAAGGAAGGACAUUCUGAAUAUGGGUGAGAGACUGCGCCUUGGACAAUCACUGUGAGUCCCGACCCUUACCAGAAAAGUCACUUGCAGCGUCGUUUCCAGGCAUAGGUUAGGAUCACCAUGCUCUCUCACGGGCUGUAUGUUGCAACCCUGAUAUGAAAACGUCUUCUAUCUCCUUCAACUGUGGCAGGAGCACAGGUGAAAGAGGGGAGCCGAGCCUGGGGGUAGCCUGUAUGCGUGGGUUAUGGCCCUAUUUACAGAUCAGUCAUGAUAGCUCUGCAGAUUUGCUGGGGCUCUGUGGAGCAGUGGAGGCGAGGACAGAGGUGGCCCUGCUCUGGGAGGUCCCUUCCUAACUGAGGCUCCCCGACGGCUUCCUGCACAGGAGUGGCCCGACGCCGGCGGGACAAGCAAGGAGCCCAGAUCAGCCUCGGAAAGCUCGGGCUCAAACCAGAGCUCAAUUUGGAAAUUAAAAAACAAACCUUGA